AACCAUUCUCACCUGCGGCUAGACCUGCGGAGGGAUCAUUACACAAUACAAUAUGAAGGCUGUCCGCAGCUGGAGUAUUUUAUUACCCUUGUCUUUUGCGCACUUGUUGUUUCCUGGGCGGGUUCGCUCGCCACCAGGACCACCAAAUAAACCUUUUUUAUGCAGUUGCAAUCAGCGUCAGUACAAACAAUGUAAAUCAUUUACAACUUUCAGCAACGGAUCUCAGAUCGGAAGAGCACA
Molecule: unclassified non-coding RNA, 240 nt
Filed under: soil metagenome
Description: partial contains 5.8S ribosomal RNA, internal transcribed spacer 2, and large subunit ribosomal RNA
Source: RNAcentral